Gorilla gorilla gorilla (western lowland gorilla) is the source of this 1678-nucleotide long non-coding RNA. RefSeq lists it as uncharacterized. The record is from RefSeq and is a predicted model, not a curated record. The transcript is spliced from 3 exons. NCBI's taxonomy places the organism in Eukaryota, Metazoa, Chordata, Mammalia, Primates, Hominidae.
UAUAAUCCAAACUAUUUGUACAAACCAGUAUUUGAAUACUGGCCAUAUGGCUCAAACAGUUCCAUAUCCAGCCCUAUAUUAUUUUCAAGGCAAAUUCUCCAUUAUUUUCUCAGAGAGGUACAAUAGCAGCUUCUGAAUGCAAAUAAUUUUUUGAGUUGCAUGGCUGCUGCUUUGCUUGAAGUUGUUAAGGCUUUCUCAUCCUUUUAACAUAAGUUCUGUAAGACUUCUAACUAAAACUAUUCUUUAGAUUUUUAAUAUGUAUUCAUUUAAUUGGGUUAUACUCACCUAAUCUGGGACAUUAGAAAGCAUUAGGCUUUACUUGUCUUUUAAGUCCUUGGUUAAAAAAAGAAAAAGAGAAAUUUAGAUAUGAGUAAUGUCUCUUCGGUUGAAUUACUGAACUAUAGGUUUAGAAAAAUUGAAUAUAGGUUCACUCAUUGUCCUCUCCGUCUUCAAAUUUCCAGAAUUGAAUUCAACUUCUUCAGUGAUUACUGGAACCAUUACAUGGCCAUUUCUUAAAAGAGAUUAUGAAAACAAUCAUUAACCAAGACUUUUUGGACAGAACUGCAUUUGAAGCAUUCAUGGAGUGGAAAUUUCCCUAGCUUCUUCCUUGGAAGAGCAUCCAUUCACCCUGCAGUUCCCAAGGAGCGUCGCAAAAACGAGGCUAAGGGCGCAGACAGAACUCUGGAGGUGAAGCAUGCAGAAACUUUGCUCCCUCUCCACGCAAAACCAGAGCAAAAGCUAGAGCUUCCUGUAAGAAGCGCAAGAUUCUUCCACCUGAGGAUGGCUCAAAGUGAUGUGGAACUAUCAGAAACAAAAUUCUAAAGAUAUAAUCACUCAUCGUUACAACCAGCGACAAAGGAAGUCAUCCAAAAGGUGACAGUGUGGCUGGCUACACAGGCAAGCUCAGAUCUUGAAAAGGUUGAAAAAAUGCAAAAGUUAAAAGAAAGCACACACUGGAAUUCCAAAGACGGUAUCUCAAAGUGAGAAGCCUGGAAGAAACUCCGCUCUGCAAGCAUGCUGAAGACCAAUACGAACAGUAACACUAGCAAUGAUAAUAAUAAAGCCAAACUUGGGACAGGAAGGAGAGAGAAAAGAGAAAUGUACUCCUGCGGGCAGACAUCAUAAUGUCAACAUACAAUACAAACACAGCAGAUGCACUUGAGUUUUAUUUCAGACUAUCUUCCCAAAGAAAUGAAUAUAUUCUAGAAAUUAAAAGAGUUGGGCCAGUGCAGUGGCUCAUGCCUGUAAUCCCAGCACUUUGGGAGGCCGAGGCAGGUGGAUCACGAGGUCAAGAGAUCGAGACCAGCCUGGCCAACAUGGUGAAACCCCAUCUCUACUAAAAAUACAAAAAGUAGUUGGGCGUGGUGGCACGUGCCUGUAAUCCCAGCUACUCGGGAGUCUGAGGCAGGAGAAUCGCCUGAACCCGGGAGGCAGAGGUUGCAGUGAGCCAAGAUCAUGCCAUUGCACUUCAGUCUGGGCAACAGGGUGAGACUCUGUCUCAAAAAAAAAAAAAAAGAGUUGGACAAAAAAAAAUAAUACUAAGAUGGACUUAAAAACCCAAAUUGGAGCCUUAUAACUUUUAAAUCAUCCGAUAUGUUUUCUAGUACAGGACAAGAGAGGGUUUCUAAGACUUACUAGAGGCAAAUAUCCUAAUUUCCAAUGACAUGAUUUGUUGAAA